GCUGAGCUCCAAGGUGGGGUCCGUGGGAUUCUACAAGCUCAUUUUGAGCCUCUUCUCUUUCCUUGACCUUGGGACAGAUGUAAUUGUGGAGUGUGGAAACAGUUUAUCUGUCUGUCCCAAAGGCCUGGUCCCUCCUGCAUUUCCUCAGUUCUGGCUGCAACCUUGACAGAAACUAAUAAAACAAACAAACAACAAAACUGGAGAGGUGUGCACUCCUGUAAUCCCGGCACGUAGAAGAUGGACCACGAGUCUCAGAAAGUUCAAGGUCAUCCUCAGCUGCAGUGACGCUGAAGCUGACCUGGACUACAUUAAUAAGACCCUGUGCAAAGAAAGAGAAGGGCGAGGUCAGAAUAAAGAUGCCAACCAGACUUCAGUUUCUGAGUUUGUGCCGUUGAAGAACAACCUGAAAGAAACUAGACGCUGGAAGAUACCAUUUGGGCAGUGGGAACGAAAAAUGAGGCAAGAAUGAAUUCCUCUGAGGCUGUAAGCAAGCCCCCAAUUAAAUGCUUUCUUUCUUAAGCUGCCUUGGUCACGGUGUCUCUUCACAACAAUAGAACGGUAGUGUGUGGCCACCCCUGAGCCUGAAGACUAGACCCUGCUGGCGAAGGAAAGGCGGCUUUGACAGGUACCCAUCGCUUUGGUUUUCCAGUUUCUGAUUGAAGUCCAUCCUAAUCUUUUGGCAUUUUGAGGCUCCUCUGUGUAGGACCUCCCAUGUAACUCCCCGUCUGACCAGCUCAUUCUGCGUCCCCAUCUGGAUUACUCUUCUCCAUUGCUGUGACAAAAUGCCUGCUGGUUUCAGAGGGAAGCUUGCUCCAGGUGAAGACAGUGGCUGGAUGCUCUGUUGGAGGUGGCGAGAGCUUAUGGGCAGCUUGUUCACAUCUCUGGUGGAUCAGCCAGCAAAGAACAGGACCCAGCGCAGGCCUGAGUUAUCAACCUUCAAGGCCUGCCCUCCAUGGUCUACAUCUGCCAGCUAGGCCCCAUGUCCCAAAGGUUGCAGAAUGUCCCCAAACAGUGCCUCCAGCUGAGGAUCAAACAUUGAGAAACAUGGCCUGUUGAGGGUCAUUGCACAUUUACAUCCUAACUCCAUCCUUCUAGUACUUUCUAUACUAAGUUUCUCUGUGUUGGGCUUUGGUCCCGUUUAGUCAUGGCUUGAGUGUUUGUGGGAAGAAACUGAGCCUGAUAGUUGAGUGAGAUAUAGUUGAUGAAGAUUCACCGUUGGUCUGUGUCUGUGGACGGUGAAAACAGUAGGGAGGCUGUGGCAACUCUAGGUUGAAUGUAUGUUAAACAUAAUUUUAAAAGGGGAAAAUAAUGUAUAGUUGGUUCAUGAAAGGAAGCUGGCCUAUCAUUGCCUGGGAGAACAUUAGAAAGAAUCUGUCAGGGUCUUCAAUGGAAGGAGAAACUUCUCUUUAAAAGCUGGAGGGUGUUAGUUUUUCGGCUGUGUUGUGUUCUUACCCUGCAAGGAAAUGCCACGAAACACGACAGAAUCCGCUAACAAGAGUUUUAUUAAAGGUAAAGGGACAGAGAGUGAACAGGCCUGCGGGAAACACGUGUGUGGAGAAGAAGGAGGAAGAAGAAGAAGGAACCAGGAACAUGGCGCCGGAUUUUAAAGGCUGGGCGUGGACAGAUCAGCGUCACUACUACACGCAAGCGCAUAGAUCACAUGGCCACGUUGCGCGCCUACGUGGCUAGUGGAACGUCACGGAUCUUGGUCACGCGAGAUGCCCUGACCCGGAAAUGGCUAUCCUGACCUGGACCUGGCUAGGCGGAAAUGUCUGCCAGGCAUAUGCAAACACGCCUGACCGUGGGGGCUUGUUGUAAACCUUUCAUAGGGAAGCCUCACUAGUGAGAACAAAAGACAGGAGCUGUUGUUUGGAAAUGCCUCUCCUCUGCAAGCUCUCACAGACAAUGUCAGGAUUCAGUCUACAUGUUUGACCAGCACACUUGAUCCCCAGUGCUUGGAGUUGAACUCAUGUGCUUCAGCCAACAGGUCAUUGUCAUAGCAUGAUGUAUGGAAUGUGAUGUUGAGACCAUGCAGAAAUCACUUCCAUGAAGAUUGUUGCUAUAUCAGACCAGUCUAAUUCCAGCUUUCCCUGAAGGCUCUGCCACUUCCCAGGCUCUGGCUGGGAUGUAGGGUGGCACCAAUCCAGGUAGGUUCCCUGGGGAAGGGAAGUGCUGGGAGAGAGGGCUGUGUGUGUG
Molecule: long non-coding RNA, 2196 nt
Organism: Peromyscus californicus insignis
Lineage: Eukaryota; Metazoa; Chordata; Mammalia; Rodentia; Cricetidae
Exons: 3
Source: RefSeq, a predicted model, not a curated record